UUGAACGCUGGCGGCAGGCCUAACACAUGCAAGUCGCGCGGAUGAAGGGAGCUUGCUCCUGGAUUCAGCGGCGGACGGGUGAGUAAUGCCUAGGAAUCUGCCUGGUAGUGGGGGAUAACGUCCGGAAACGGGCGCUAAUACCGCAUACGUCCUGAGGGAGGAAGUGGGGGAUCUUCGGACCUCACGCUAUCAGAUGAGCCUAGGUCGGAUUAGCUAGUUGGUGGGGUAAAGGCCUACCAAGGCGACGAUCCGUAACUGGUCUGAGAGGAUGAUCAGUCACACUGGAACUGAGACACGGUCCAGACUCCUACGGGAGGCAGCAGUGGGGAAUAUUGGACGAUGGGCGAAAGCCUGAUCCAGCCAUGCCGCGUGUGUGAAGAAGGUCUUCGGAUUGUAAAGCACUUUAAGUUGGGAGGAAGGGCAGUAAGUUAAUACCUUGCUGUUUUGACGUUACCAACAGAAUAAGCACCGGCUAACUUCGUG
RNAcentral lists this ribosomal RNA (483 nucleotides) under uncultured bacterium. RNAcentral's name for it is "partial 16S ribosomal RNA". It matches the Rfam family "Bacterial small subunit ribosomal RNA", at positions 30 to 507 of the family's 1533-position model. The record is from RNAcentral.